AUUGAACGCUGGCGGCAGGCCUAACACAUGCCAGUCGAGCGGAUGAAGGGAGCUUGCUCCUGGAUUCAGCGGCGGACGGGUGAGUAAUGCCUAGGAAUCUGCCUGGUAGUGGGGGAUAACGUCCGGAAACGGGCGCUAAUACCGCAUACGUCCUGAGGGAGAAAGUGGGGGAUCUUCGGACCUCACGCUAUCAGAUGAGCCUAGGUCGGAUUAGCUAGUUGGUGGGGUAAAGGCCUACCAAGGCGACGAUCCGUAACUGGUCUGAGAGGAUGAUCAGUCACACUGGAACUGAGACACGGUCCAGACUCCUACGGGAGGCAGCAGUGGGGAAUAUUGGACAAUGGGCGAAAGCCUGAUCCAACCAUGCCGCGUGUGUGAAGAAGGUCUUCGGAUUGUAAAGCACUUUAAGUUGGGAGGAAGGGCAGUAAGUUAAUACCUUGCUGUUUUGACGUUACCAACAGAAUAAGCACCGGCUAACUUCGUG
RNAcentral lists this ribosomal RNA (484 nucleotides) under uncultured bacterium. RNAcentral describes it as "partial 16S ribosomal RNA". It matches the Rfam family "Bacterial small subunit ribosomal RNA", at positions 30 to 507 of the family's 1533-position model. The record is from RNAcentral.